AUUGAACGCUGGAGGCAGGCCUAACACAUGCAAGUCGAGCGAGCGGCGGACGGGUGAGUAAUGUAUGGGGACUGCCCGAUAGAGGGGGAUAACUACUGGAAACGGUGGCUAAUACCGCAUACUGGCGGAUAACACCUAUGGGAUUAGCAAGUAGGUAAGGUAAUGGCUUACCUAGUCGACGAUCCCUAGCUGGUCUGAGCGGAUGAUCAGCCACACUGGGACGGAGACACGGCCCAGACUCCUACGGAGGAAGCAGUGGGGAAUAUUGGACAAUGGGCGCAAUCCUGAUGCAGCCAUGCCGCGUGUAUGAAGAAGGCCUUAGGGUUGUAAAGUACUUUCAGUCGGGAGGCGUUACCGACAGAAGAAGCACCGGCUAACUCCGUGCCAGCAGCCGCGGUAAUUC
This 403-nucleotide ribosomal RNA is filed under the name uncultured bacterium. RNAcentral describes it as "partial 16S ribosomal RNA". It matches the Rfam family "Bacterial small subunit ribosomal RNA", at positions 30 to 526 of the family's 1533-position model. The record is from RNAcentral.